This 142-nucleotide small RNA is filed under the name Salmonella enterica subsp. enterica serovar Typhimurium. RNAcentral describes it as "RtT RNA". It matches the Rfam family "RtT RNA". Rfam says of the family: This family represents a bacterial cis-regulatory element known as RtT RNA. The exact function of RtT is unknown although it is thought that it may be involved in changing the cellular response in relation to amino acid starvation. The record is from RNAcentral. Lineage: Bacteria; Pseudomonadati; Pseudomonadota; Gammaproteobacteria; Enterobacterales; Enterobacteriaceae.
AUAUCUCUCUGUACGGGAAGGAUGAGAAAGGAUGAGAAGCUUCGACUAAGGUUCGAUUCGAGCGUCAGCGAGAAAGCGUUGCCGCAGGCAACGACCCGAAGGGCGAAGCGCGCAGCGCUGAGUCAUCCUUCCCCCACCACCA